This 1134-nucleotide long non-coding RNA is filed under the name Mus spicilegus (steppe mouse). RNAcentral describes it as "lncRNA (ENSMSIG00000018388.1)". The record is from RNAcentral. Lineage: Eukaryota; Metazoa; Chordata; Mammalia; Rodentia; Muridae.
AUCGUAGUACCACCACUGCCUGGGAAAGCCUUGAAGCGGCAGCUCCCUUUCCGAGGAGAUGAAGGGAUCUUUGAGGAGUCUUUCAUUGAAGAAAGGAGGCAAGGCCUCGAACAGUUUAUUAACAAAAUUGCUGGGCACCCACUGGCUCAGAAUGAACGCUGUCUACACAUGUUCCUGCAGGAGGAGGCAAUUGAUAGGAACUACGUCCCUGGGAAGGUGCGCCAGUAGGAGUCCCUCUCACCACUUGCCCUCUACUUUUCCUGCUGAAAUGACAUUGGUUUUUACACUAAGCCUCUCUCUCUUUUUGAUCUGAAGUUGGCUACCCAUCCCCUGGCUUGAUAGACCGUCCUGCAUUGUGCCCCUUGGUACCAGACUACACCGUGUGGGCGCUCUGCUAGUAUCUCUUCUCUGAAGAGAGGUGGGAAACCACAGGCAGAUGUUCUUUGCUUGGGGUUGGGGUGGGGGAGGGAUUGGACUGGAAGGCAAUUUCUUGGGCAUUUUAACUAUACCAGAAGGCUAACUUGGGGGGAGGGGGGUGUGCUGGUGAGGCACUUGGAUAUAUUACUGAUGCUGCAAGUCUAGGGCCUUUUUCUUAUUCUUAGGUUUAACCAGGAACACUGAAUAGGGAGAAUCCCUGCUUUUCCUACCUGCAUGAAAAAUUUUCUUUUUGGGGAAGGUGGUAGAAACCCAAAACGUAUUUUUUUCUAGGCCUAUUCCCAGUUUUCUCAGCAGUUUUUUGUUUGUUUGUUUUUCCUCUCCCCUGUUGCUUUUCAUGGCAGCAAUCCUAGAGUUUAAGCAGUUCAAUGUGUAGAGCAGGAUGUAUGGGUUUUCUGGGCCCAUCGUCAAUGGUUACUGCAAAGUCAAAAAAAGCCAUAGGGUAGUAGGGUGCUCCUAUUGCCUAGCCCCUAUCCUUUUAUGGCUCCCUACUCUGGCUGUCUAUAUUUUGCUCACUAGCUAAUGAGUCAGUAUGGGCCAGCAGUUCUCUCUCCUCGAGCCCUUGUACUUUUGUGGGUUAGCUUUGUGGGUUUUGAGGGACAAGAGCAACUUAUCACUGCCAGGUGACUUUCUGAAUGGUGGGAGGGGGUCAUGUUUUAGGUUCCUCUUGAUGGUAAGGAAGAGCAACAUCAUUUUCCU